CGGAGGGGGCGGAGUCCGCCGGCGGCAGGGGGCGGGGGCGGGGAGCGCAGGAGAGGGUCCGGCGGGGGGGGGGGGGGCGGGGCGGGGCCUGGACACCCGAGCGCCCGGGGGGCGGGGCCUGGCCGCGCGUGGGCGUGGCGGUCGGGCGUUGCGGUAGAGGGGACCCGUGGCGGUCGGUGGUCGGUGGCCGUUGGCUUGGCGGUUGGCAAGGCUCGGAACUGUGGACUCGUGCCCGGGGGCGGGGUCAUUCGUAUCCGCUCUCUGAACCGCCGCCACCCCAAGCUGCAAAGAGCUUCAGCUCCAGCGCGGUUAAUCCGUAGAGAGAGGCCAGAGAGCAUGGCCAGACCCAACAGACGAAGCCACAGGGAGGCCAGUUGAGACUUGACUGAAGAAGGUAAGGACCGAGGGGCUGAGCACCCCAUGCCUGGGAUCCAGCAGUCAUUUGCCAGGAAGGCUGAGCCCCGGGGUGGCAAGAGCGUGGUUUUGGAAAGGAGAAGUGUCUCUGCUUCUGGCGUAGAGUUGGUCAUUUAUUUUUUUUUAUUUUUAUUUUUUUAUUUAUUUAUGAUAGUCACGGAGAGAGAGAGAGAGGCAGAGACAUAGGCAGAGGGAGAAGCAGGCUCCAUGCAUCGGGAGCCCGAUGUGGGACUCGAUCCCGGGUCUCCAGGAUCGCGCCCUGGGCCAAAGGCAGGCGCCAAACCGCUGCGCCACCCAGGGAUCCCGAGUUGGUCAUUUAGUUCUCCAAGCCCGCACGUCCUCAUUUCUGAACCAUUGGUGAGAAAGCGCUCCGCACAGCAAGGCCGGCGGGAGCUCUGUCCAAGGUGGCGCACCAGGGUGGAGCACAACCAAGGCUGGAGUGUACUCACUGACACCAGAGCUACUCUGUCGACGCUGCACUACAACAGCCUCAUCCUGGGGAUUAGCAGCAAAGUGGAUGCCAUUGGAUUAGAGAUUAUAAUUGGCAAGGGAGAUCUUCUGCUAAAGGAAGACUGCUUGGAGCAACAAACCCACUUUUCAACUGAGAAUACAUUGGUACAACAGAGAAAUGUGUGCAGUCUGAACAGACGCAGAGCCCAGCCCCUUGUUGAUUGCCAAGUCGUCUGA
RNAcentral lists this long non-coding RNA (1101 nucleotides) under Canis lupus familiaris (dog). Its description in RNAcentral is "lncRNA (ENSCAFG00845003955.1)". The record is from RNAcentral. Lineage: Eukaryota; Metazoa; Chordata; Mammalia; Carnivora; Canidae.